RNAcentral lists this transfer RNA (64 nucleotides) under Salmonella enterica subsp. enterica serovar Cerro str. FSL R8-0235. RNAcentral describes it as "Salmonella enterica subsp. enterica serovar Cerro FSL R8-0235 tRNA-OTHER". The record is from RNAcentral. Lineage: Bacteria; Pseudomonadati; Pseudomonadota; Gammaproteobacteria; Enterobacterales; Enterobacteriaceae.
GGGUGAUUAGCUCAGCUGGGAGAGCACCUCCCUUACAAGGAGGGGNGUUAGUCGCCAUCCGGCA